ACGAAACAUCUUCAAGUAUCUUCAACCAAGUCCGGAUCCUGUCGUAGGGUCUGAGCCCAGCUCGGUCAGCUGGACCAUCAGGUCUGAUCAUGUUGACAUAAACUCCUUUCUCCAAGAAGCCGUCUGACACACUGAAGCCAAAGUCAUCAAUCUCUGGGUCCUUUACCACUGUUACCUAUAGACAACAAGGAUGUGAUGUUGGCGAAACUGAAGCUUCAUAUUUCAACUCAAUUUAGUUUAAUCCAAGUUUAAACAUGAACGGAAAGCAGUGGCUGUCUGUUUGUUUUUUUUAACCUUAAUCCUUUACUCCUAUGUCAAACAUGUUUGGUCAGCACAGGUUAUCUUGAGGGUCUCUAACACACCAGGGUGAACACAAAGUUAUUACUAACCAACAGGUGUCACAUCAAAUGAUCCAAUGUUCUGUUUAAAAGUUGCCCUUGGAAAAGACUAUAAAGACAACAGCUGAUCACCAGCAUGAAAGGAAAUGAUCGGUCAGUAGUCCUAAUCCAAAAGACACAAAAUAAUUAGCCAACCACUCCCUAUGUCAUCGUGAAUCUUAUUAAACAGUCUCAUCAUAUUCUCAGAGUACGUCUGACAAAAGUUGCAUCAGUGUAGAGUUUUACUUUAGCAUUGCCUGCCAUUGGUCUCACUUGUGGAAGAAGUUAAAAUAAAGACAGACGGCUCUUUCUCACAGAUUUAUGCUGAACUGCCUAAAAUGGCUUCUGGUGCACCGCAAAAGAUACACGCUAUGAUCGGCCACAGACACCAAAUGUUGGCAUGGUGUGUCAGGGCCCAUGAAGUGGAGUUUGGACAUUAAGCCAGCUGUUUGGGACAUUAAACCAAUUUUGGAGAUAUAGCAAGCAUUAUGAUUGUACAUUUUUUAAAGAACACUGACAGAAAAAUCCACCUUUUUUCUUGAUAUUUAGCCAAAAUGGAUAAUGGGGUUUCUGUAUUGUUCUUUUAGGCUGACAGAGCAUACAGGGAAUGGUAUUUAAUUGAUUUAAAAGCAUUAAAGUCUUGUGUUACCACUGCGGUUCUACUGUAUAGGAUAUACUGUACAAUGUUCACCCAUGCUUUACUGAUGCACGAUUAAAUCUAGGAUAAAUGA
Long non-coding RNA from Micropterus salmoides (largemouth bass), 1108 nucleotides. RefSeq lists it as uncharacterized. Lineage: Eukaryota; Metazoa; Chordata; Actinopteri; Centrarchiformes; Centrarchidae. The record is from RefSeq and is a predicted model, not a curated record. The transcript has 2 exons.